CCUACGGGAGGCUGCAGUGGGGAAUAUUGGGCAAUGGGCGCAAGCCUGACCCAGCAACGCCGCGUGAAGGAAGAAGGCUUUCGGGUUGUAAACUUCUUUUCUGAGGGACGAAGAAAGUGACGGUACCUCAGGAAUAAGCCACGGCUAACUACGUGCCAGCAGCCGCGGUAAUACGUAGGUGGCAAGCGUUAUCCGGAUUUAUUGGGUGUAAAGGGCGCGUAGGUGGGCGCUUAAGUCAGGUGUGAAAACUCCGGGCUCAACCUGGAGACUGCACUUGAAACUGGGUGUCUUGAGGGCAGGAGAGGAAAGUGGAAUUCCUAGUGUAGCGGUGAAAGGCGGAGAUAUUAGGAGGAACACCAGUGGCGAAGGCGACUUUCUGGGCUGUACCUGACGCUGAGGCGCGAAAGCGUGGGUAGCGAACGGUAUUAGAUACCCGUGUAGUC
RNAcentral lists this ribosomal RNA (443 nucleotides) under uncultured bacterium. RNAcentral describes it as "partial 16S ribosomal RNA". It matches the Rfam family "Bacterial small subunit ribosomal RNA", at positions 338 to 795 of the family's 1533-position model. The record is from RNAcentral.